CUCCGGUUGAUCCCUGCCGGACCCGACUGCUAUCAGAGUGAGAUUAAGCCAUGCGAGUCAACGCAGCAAUGCGUGGCAUACGGCUCAGUAACACGUAGUCAACAUGCCCAGGGGACGUGGAUAACCUCGGGAAACUGAGGAUAAACCGCGAUAGGCCAAGAUUUCUGGAAUGGAUAAUGGCUGAAAUCUAUAUGGCCCCUGGAUUGGACUGCGGCCGAUCAGGCUGUUGGUGAGGUAAUGGCCCACCAAACCUGUAACCGGUACGGGCUCUGAGAGGAGGAGCCCGGAGAUGGGCACUGAGACAAGGGCCCAGGCCCUAUGGGGCGCAGCAGGCGCGAAACCUCUGCAAUAGGCGAAAGCUUGACAGGGUUACUCUGAGUGAUGUCCGUUAAGGGCAUCUUUUGGCACUUCUAAAAAUAGUGUAGAAUAAGGGGUGGGCAAGUCUGGUGUCAGCCGCCGCGGUAAUACCAGCACCCCGAGUGGUCGGGACGAUUAUUGGGCCUAAAGCAUCCGUAGCCGGUUCUGCAAGUCUUCCGUUAAAUCCACCUGCUCAACAGAUGGGCUGCGGAGGAUACUACAGGGCUAGGAGGCGGGAGAGGCAAGCGGUACUCAGUGGGUAGGGGUAAAAUCCUCUGAUCCACUGAAGACCACCAGUGGCGAAGGCGGCUUGCCAGAACGCGCUCGACGGUGAGGGAUGAAAGCUGGGGGAGCAAACCGGAUUAGAUACCCGGGUAGUCCCAGCUGUAAACGAUGCAGACUCGGUGAUGGGUUGGCUUCGAGCCAACCCAGUGCCGCAGGGAAGCCGUUAAGUCUGCCGCCUGGGGAGUACGGUCGCAAGACUGAAACUUAACUCAAAUGGCGGGGGAACA
RNAcentral lists this ribosomal RNA (869 nucleotides) under uncultured archaeon. RNAcentral's name for it is "bacterial SSU rRNA". It matches the Rfam family "Archaeal small subunit ribosomal RNA", at positions 1 to 878 of the family's 1478-position model. The record is from RNAcentral.